This is a long non-coding RNA of Uranotaenia lowii, 575 nucleotides long. RefSeq lists it as uncharacterized. The record is from RefSeq and is a predicted model, not a curated record. The transcript has 3 exons. Lineage: Eukaryota; Metazoa; Arthropoda; Insecta; Diptera; Culicidae.
GGGGCGAGUGAAACAGCAACUCGUCAAAGAAAAUGUUCCGGUUUUCGCCGUUUUGGUGGCCUGUACAAGUUCUCUUUUUACUAUUGCCGCCGGGACACACAGAGUUCGUAAAACAGGAUUCCAACAACAUAUCCCAAAUGAGGAUCAGUGUUCCAAUGAUAAUAUUUUCCAAAGUUGGUCAUGGUCGUCCAGACGAAAUUCACCCCCAAAUCUUGCCAACUUACUCUAAUUGAUUGCCAUCGACGAAGUACCUUAUAUGAGCGAAAUGAGCCACGUUGUUGGUCCCGGCUACCAUGGGCUAGAAAUUGUGCGAGUGGUUUGUACCAAAUUUCCAGUUUGGUUGUCAGAGCUACUGUUAUACCACACAUUCGGGAAAGUAUUGGGUCCAAUGUCCAAUUUGAGGCUGCGGAACCAUCAGAUCUUAUGAACCAAGCCCAAUUUAAAACAUCGUUUGACAAACUGGAACCCGUAACUGCAAAAAUUAAGGGAAUUUGUUAUUCUAGAUGACAAACUUUCGGUACUACUACCGGAGCUUCAAACGUCCAGUGAAAAAUGUGAUUGAUGUGACCCCAACG